GGCUCUGGUCAACAGUAGUGUUCUAUAUAGGGAAUAGGGCUCUGGUCAACAGUAGUGUUCUGAAUAGGGCUCUGGUCAACAGUAGUGUUCUAUAUAGGGAAUAGUGCUCUGGUCAACAGUAGUGUUCUAUAUAGGGAAUAGGGCUCUGGUCAACAGUAGUGUUCUAUAUAGGGAAUAGGGCUCUGGUCAACAGUAGACACACCACAUCAAACACACUGGGUCGUUAAAAUGCAGUCAUAAAUAGAGAUUCUGAUUAUACAGCACUUCUCCAGUGAGGACUGGCCCGCCCGGAGGUGGAGCAUAUUGAACUGGCCCGCCCGGAGGUGGAGCGUAUUGAACUGGCCCGCCCGGAGGUGGAGCGUAUUGAACUGGCCCGCCCGGAGGUGGAGCGUAUUGAACUGGCCCGCCCGGAGGUGGAGCGUAUUGAACUGGCCCGCCCGGAGGUGGAGCGUAUUGAACUGGCCCGCCCGGAGGUGGAGCGUAUUGAACUGGCCCGCCCGGAGGUGGAGCUUAUUGAACUGGCCCGC
This is a long non-coding RNA of Oncorhynchus keta (chum salmon), 527 nucleotides long. RefSeq lists it as uncharacterized. NCBI's taxonomy places the organism in Eukaryota, Metazoa, Chordata, Actinopteri, Salmoniformes, Salmonidae. The record is from RefSeq and is a predicted model, not a curated record. The transcript has 3 exons.